UUUAUUUCCAGACUCUCCGCUCUUAGAACCCAGCUUGUUAUUAUAUUGUGUGGUUCGCGCUCCGCGGUUCGAUGACCCAACUCGUGCUGUGAUGAUCUAAAAGCUGCGGUGAAGUAGGUGAGGUCGAUCUUCAAAGUUGAAAAUUCCCUUCUCACUCCAAUCUCAGCCGGGCCAGGAUAGUUAUAAGAGAGGAGCGUAGAGCCAAGAGUAUCACAACAACGCAUAGUCUACUGGAGCUGUAACCUUCAGCAUACCCUUUGAGUAUGAGGGCUGUGACCUCCGCGGUGGGAACUGCCUUUCCUAGGACACACUUCAAGCACAGUGCCCAAACAAGAAUGGUCUAAUUGUGGUAGCCCAGACCAAGCUCAAUGGCCACAUCGGGAACACCAGUGGCCGGCUGGUGAACGGUGCGGGCUUCCGCAACUCUUGCAGGGAUAUGAAAGAGAUCCAGGUUUACAGCAAUGUGUUCAAGAUUGAGGCAACCUGCAACAACAACGCCGGUGGGUCCAACCCCACCAGCUUCAAUCUGAACAUGCGUGUGGCCAACGUCAAUGGGGUCUUGGAGUUCCACGCUUGUUGAUCGGCGACUCUGGUGGUGGAUCCAGAAGUCCUUUCGUAUUUUGGUCCGUCGUCCACGUCAGCCCGGAGGUCGAUAUGAAACUGCAAUAAGCAUUGGUAGCUCUUCGUAGGACCUGCCAGCGACGUGUGUUGUUCCAGGUUAAUGAUCACUACAGUUUUGAAUUGGGUGUGGGCUGUUCAGUACUGUCUCGCUGUAUUGAACGAUGUGGAGAAAUACUUAAUCCUGUAGGUAGCUGUGCAGAUAGUAAUUUGUCCAGCUCUAUGGAUGCCAUGGAUGAUCCUCCACCUGAAAGGAGCCUCUUUCUAUCAGAUUGUGCGUUCACUAGAAAGGGGAUUUGUCAUCCGUUUUUGACUGUGCAUAGCAUGUAACCCUAUCAUUGUUUGACCCCCACUAUAUUGCACAAGAGUGAAGUGCUAGGAAUCGUAAUUCCUCUUCUGAUUCAA
Molecule: non-coding RNA, 1023 nt
Organism: Physcomitrium patens
Lineage: Eukaryota; Viridiplantae; Streptophyta; Bryopsida; Funariales; Funariaceae
Source: RefSeq, a predicted model, not a curated record